Molecule: ribosomal RNA, 468 nt
Filed under: uncultured bacterium
Lineage: Bacteria
Description: partial 16S ribosomal RNA
Rfam family: Bacterial small subunit ribosomal RNA
Source: RNAcentral
GACGAACGCUGGCGGCGUGCUUAACACAUGCAAGUCGAACGGAAAGGCCCUGCUUUUGUGGGGUGCUCGAGUGGCGAACGGGUGAGUAACACGUGAGUAACCUUCCCUUUACUUUGUGAUAACUUCAGGAAACUGGGGCUACUACCGGAUAGGAGCUCCUGCUGCAUGGUGGGCUUUGGAAAGUUUCGGCGGUUGGGGAUGGACUCGCGGCUUAUCAGCUUGUUGGUGGGGUAGUGGCUUACCAAGGCUUUGACGGGUAGCCGGCCUGAGAGGGUGACCGGCCACAUUGGGACUGAGAUACGGCCCAGACUCCUACGGGAGGCAGCAGUGGGGAAUAUUGCACAAUGGGCGGAAGCCUGAUGCAGCAACGCCGCGUGCGGGAUGACGGCCUUCGGGUUGUAAACCGCUUUCGCCUGUGACGAAGCGUGAGUGACGGUAAUGGGUAAAGAAGCACCGGCUAACUACGUG